UACGUAGGGUGCGAGCGUUGUCCGGAAUUAUUGGGCGUAAAGAGCUCGUAGGCGGUGUGUCACGUCGGCCGUGAAAACCUGCAGCUUAACUGUGGGCGUGCGGUCGAUACGGGCAUCACUGGAGUUCGGCAGGGGAGACUGGAAUUCCUGGUGUAGCGGUGAAAUGCGCAGAUAUCAGGAGGAACACCGGUGGCGAAGGCGGGUCUCUGGGCCGAUACUGACGCUGAGGAGCGAAAGCGUGGGGAUCAAACAGG
This 254-nucleotide ribosomal RNA is filed under the name uncultured bacterium. RNAcentral's name for it is "partial 16S ribosomal RNA". It matches the Rfam family "Bacterial small subunit ribosomal RNA", at positions 524 to 776 of the family's 1533-position model. The record is from RNAcentral.